GAUGAACGCUGGCGGCGUGCCUAAUACAUGCAAGUCGAGCGAACAGACGAGGAGCUUGCUCCUCUGACGUUAGCGGCGGACGGGUGAGUAACACGUGGAUAACCUACCUAUAAGACUGGGAUAACUUCGGGAAACCGGAGCUAAUACCGGAUAAUAUAUUGAACCGCAUGGUGCAAUAGUGAAAGACGGUUUUGCUGUCACUUAUAGAUGGAUCCGCGCCGCAUUAGCUAGUUGGUAAGGUAACGGCUUACCAAGGCAACGAUGCGUAGCCGACCUGAGAGGGUGAUCGGCCACACUGGAACUGAGACACGGUCCAGACUCCUGCGGGAGGCCGCAGUAGGGAAUCUUACGCAAUGGGCGAAAGCCUGACGGAGCAACGCCGCGUGAGUGAUGAAGGUCUUCGGAUCGUAAAACUCUGUUAGUAGGGAAGAACAAAUGUGUAAGUAACUAUGCACGUCUUGACGGUACCUAAUCAGAAAGCCACGGCUAACUACGUG
RNAcentral lists this ribosomal RNA (497 nucleotides) under uncultured bacterium. RNAcentral describes it as "partial 16S ribosomal RNA". It matches the Rfam family "Bacterial small subunit ribosomal RNA", at positions 28 to 507 of the family's 1533-position model. The record is from RNAcentral.